AAUACAAAAAUUCAUAUUUAGAAUUUAUAUUUGUGUGUGGCUUAAUUUUGUUGGCAUUAUAUUAUUUGGCAUAUUUUAACACUUGUGAAUGUUUGUUUUACAGUUUUUUCUUUUGGGCUAUAUCGAAUGCUAUGACUAGACAAUUUGUGAUGAGAAAUAGAUUAGACAAUGCAUUUUUGGCUGAGAGUGAAGUGUGUCCUUGAUAUUAAAUCAAUGUACACUGUGUUCUGAAGAGAGCCAAGCAGGGCAUCCUGCUGGCUGAUUCCCGCAGCUCUCCCUGGGUUGCCUGGCAACAAGCUGGCUGAAGUCAGAGUCGUGCUUUUCCCCCAGCAGUGGAGAAGGCAAUCUGAGAUGCUGCUGGUUCCAAGGCUUUAGAAGAAGAGAGAGAGGAUUUUCCCUUGCAUUCUUAAUCCAGUUUUAUCAUUAAUGAUACUAACAUUUUGAUCCAGUUGGAUCUUUAUUUCUAUUCAUCAAUAUUUGGUACACAGAGACGAGGAAGUGGGCAGAAAGGUGACUGAUUAGGCUCCCUCAGCGUACGUUAUCACAUCAUUCUAUUCCCAGGUUGCUAUGGUGCUUCCUAUAAUCCAAGUUGCUUAUAGACAGUGUGCAUGGAGCUUUCUCAACCUGCCUUGCUCACCUCUUUGCUUUCUCAACCUGCAUUGCUCAACCUGCAGUCUGCAACUCUUUGUGGCCAUGGACAGAAGCUCAGACCGAGAGCUCUCUGCGAUUCUGUGAUUCAGAGACCGAACUUGUGUGUGACCAUCUCCUUGAACUCCUUGAUUUCUAGCCUGAGAAAUGAAAGUGUGAAACAAGCUUCACAUAAAAUAUUUAAAGAACAAACUUUAUUCAUGAAAAUAAAUGAGAAGAUGAUGAACUUCUAAA
Molecule: long non-coding RNA, 882 nt
Filed under: Homo sapiens (human)
Lineage: Eukaryota; Metazoa; Chordata; Mammalia; Primates; Hominidae
Description: HSALNT0365516
Source: RNAcentral